Molecule: ribosomal RNA, 497 nt
Filed under: uncultured bacterium
Lineage: Bacteria
Description: partial 16S ribosomal RNA
Rfam family: Bacterial small subunit ribosomal RNA
Source: RNAcentral
GAUGAACGCUGGCGGCGUGCCUAAUACAUGCGAGUCGAGCGAACAGACGUGGAGCUUGCGCCUCUGAGGUUAGCGACGGGCGGGUGAGUAACACGUGGAUAAGCAACCUAUAAGACUGGGAUAACUACGGGAAACCGGAGCUAGUACCGGAUAAUAGAAUGAACCGCAGGGUGCAAUAGUGAAAGAGGGGUUUGCUGUUGCUUAUAGAGGGUACCGGGUCGCAUUAGCGAGGUGGUAAGGUAACGGCUUACCAAGGCGACGAUUCGUAGCCGACCUGGGAGGGUGUCCGGCGACCCUGGAACUGGAACACGGUCCAGACUCCUACGGGAGGCAGCAGUAGGGACUCUUCGGCAAUGGGCGAAAGCCUGACGGAGCAACGCCGCGUGAGUGAUGAAGGUCUUCGGAUCGUAAAACUCUGUUAUUAGGGAAGAACAAAUGUGUAAGUAACUAUGCACGUCUUGACGGUACCUAAUCAGAAAGCCACGGCUAACUACGUG